RNAcentral lists this ribosomal RNA (393 nucleotides) under uncultured bacterium. Its description in RNAcentral is "partial 16S ribosomal RNA". It matches the Rfam family "Bacterial small subunit ribosomal RNA", at positions 523 to 918 of the family's 1533-position model. The record is from RNAcentral.
AUACGGAGGAUCCGAGCGUUAUCCGGAUUUAUUGGGUUUAAAGGGUGCGUAGGCGGCCUUUUAAGUCAGCGGUGAAAGUCUGUGGCUCAACCAUAGAAUUGCCGUUGAAACUGGGGGGCUUGAGUAUGUUUGAGGCAGGCGGAAUGCGUGGUGUAGCGGUGAAAUGCUUAGAUAUCACGCAGAACCCCGAUUGCGAAGGCAGCGUGCAAAGCCACGACUGACGCUGAUGCACGAAAGCGUGGGGAUCAAACAGGAUUAGAUACCCUGGUAGUCCACGCAGUAAACGAUGAUCACUAGCUGUUUGCGAUACACUGUAAGCGGCACAGCGAAAGCGUUAAGUGAUCCACCUGGGGAGUACGCCGGCAACGGUGAAACUUAAAGGAAUUGACGGGG